Molecule: long non-coding RNA, 220 nt
Organism: Nematostella vectensis (starlet sea anemone)
Lineage: Eukaryota; Metazoa; Cnidaria; Anthozoa; Actiniaria; Edwardsiidae
Exons: 2
Source: RefSeq, a predicted model, not a curated record
AGUAUUAGGAUUUGAAGUUAGAGUUUUUUGCAAAAUUCGAUAGAACAACAUUUCAGCGCGAUUUUCCACAAGAGAAUUAGGGUGGUCAGCGGAUUCGGCAAGAGUAAAUAGGACAAUAAAAGAAUGGAACAAGCUGCCCGCCUCACCCUGGAUUCCACUAGUGCAGAUAUUUUUAGAGAACGAAUAAAAUAAAAUUAAAUUAAUAAAAUUAUAUUAAUAC